RNAcentral lists this unclassified non-coding RNA (649 nucleotides) under Hevea brasiliensis (rubber tree). The record is from RNAcentral. Lineage: Eukaryota; Viridiplantae; Streptophyta; Magnoliopsida; Malpighiales; Euphorbiaceae.
GUUCCACCCCAAACAACAAACAACUAUUUUCAAGUACAAUACAAUAUCGUUCAACAAAAAUGCUAUAUUGCAAUCAAAUAUUUCACUGGAGGCUCUGGUCAUUGCAAUUUGCAAUUGAAUAUUUCAUUAAGAUGCAUGCACGAGAGUCUCUGAUCAUCAUCGACCAGUCCAACCAACGGUCUUAUUUGUUGUAAUCCCAAAAUUUACUAGAUCUUGUGGAGGUGGAGGUGGAGCUCUAGGCAUACUUGGCUUUGCAGGGUCAACGAAUAUUACCCAUCCAUCCAAGAAUUUGGCGUUCAUUCCUUCACGAGCCUUUUCUGCUUCUUCUAUUGUUUCAUAAGAAACAAAUCCGAACCCCUUUGAUCUCCCAGUUGCUCUAUCAGUAAUUACUUUCGCUUCCGUAAGACAUCCAAAUUCUUCAAAUGCCUUUCUAAGGUUUUCAUCACCAGUGUAUCUUGAAAGCCCGCUGACAAAAAGCUUUGGACUUGUGAGCGUUGAAUUCAAACGAAUUGAAGAAAACUGUGAUUGAACAAUCGUCGAAGAUCCACUGAAAAUGCGACGAAAUAAUGCCAUUUUAACAAUAAACAAACGAUUGUUGUGAACAGAUUGUAGUUCUGGGAAUUUUAUUGGGACAAGGUUUAGGGUUUAU